Aphis gossypii (cotton aphid) is the source of this 859-nucleotide long non-coding RNA. RefSeq lists it as uncharacterized. The transcript has 4 exons. The record is from RefSeq and is a predicted model, not a curated record. NCBI's taxonomy places the organism in Eukaryota, Metazoa, Arthropoda, Insecta, Hemiptera, Aphididae.
AAUUUAUUGUUACGAUUUUGGAGAAACGCAGGGCAUAACACGGCUAGCUAGUAUAUUAUAAUUGUAUGCAAUUGCGGAUUUACCGAUGUCGCACGGACGUUUCGGAUACAAAGUGUUAAGUCCGGGAUUUGAACACUGCUCGAGCCUAUACCUACACACAAAGUCUCGAUCCCCCGAACCGAUAAUGACGUGACACUUGUGACCCGAAUCUCCAACGAUUCCGACAGCUCGCAAUGAUUGUCAAUAUUGACAUUGGUAUUAUUGACGUGACAAUAUAUUGUUGACAUACUCACCGGCAACACGUGCAUAAGCCCAUAUCUCGAGAGUAUAAAACGCGCUCGUAAAUACGCUACGGGACAUUAUCGACGGCGAAUCACCUGAAUUAUUGUUCUUGAAAAUAUAUCAAAUUAAGUGCACGUAAAUAGGCGGUGUAUACACGAGGCCGUACAUCAACCGUGGUGGAAACUGUAUUGUGAAAUGGAUCGUGCCGUUAGCGUUACCAAUAUCCGGAAGUGGUCUCUGAUCUUCGUGGCUCUGAUAUUACUGACGUACGUCCAAAUAUCUACGUCAGCUCCUUGCGGCGGAAGCGGUAAAUGCGGUUGUGAAGAUGGCUGCGGAUGUUGUAAAUGAUGCUGAGGUGGUUGCUGCUGAUACUAAAAAUACAAACUUUAAUCAAGAGAUAUUACUCAUGUAUGUUCAAAUGGCUUCAUUGGCACCAUGUGGUGGCUGUGGUAGCUGUGGAAGCUAUGGUAAUAGUUUUAGUAUCUCCAGCAUUCUUCCAUCACUUCCAAAAAUUAAUGUAAAAAUUAACCUCAGUGGACUUUUUUGAAAAAAAAAAUAAAAAUUUUUAAUGAUUUUA